GACGAACGCUGGCGGCGUGCUUAACACAUGCAAGUCGAACGCUGAACCCGCUUCGGUGGGGGAUGAGUGGCGAACGGGUGAGUAACACGUGGGCAACCUGCCCCCGGCUCUGGGAUAACUCCAAGAAAUUGGGGCUAAUACCGGAUGUGACCGCUGGCCGCAUGGUCUGGUGGUGGAAAGGGUUUCCGGCUGGGGAUGGGCCCGCGGCCUAUCAGCUUGUUGGUGGGGUAGUGGCCUACCAAGGCGACGACGGGUAGCCGGCCUGAGAGGGUGACCGGCCACACUGGGACUGAGACACGGCCCAGACUCCUACGGGAGGCAGCAGUGGGGAAUAUUGCGCAAUGGGCGGAAGCCUGACGCGGCGACGCCGCGUGGGGGAUGACGGCCUUCGGGUUGUAAACCUCUUUCAGCAGGGACGAAGCGCAAGUGACGGUACCUGCAGAAGAAGCACCGGCCAACUACGU
RNAcentral lists this ribosomal RNA (464 nucleotides) under uncultured bacterium. RNAcentral describes it as "partial 16S ribosomal RNA". It matches the Rfam family "Bacterial small subunit ribosomal RNA", at positions 28 to 506 of the family's 1533-position model. The record is from RNAcentral.